GCAGUAAUAUUGCCUGGCUGGAGGGCUGCUGAGAACAAUCAGGAGGUGACUUAUCACCUGGACAAGAGAAAAGCUGUGGACAUCAUACCUCAACUUCCAGAAAGCCUUUGACCUGGUAUCCCACGAGGGUCUGAUCAGAAAACUGGAAGAUAUCGGGCUCAACUGUGGGACCGUCAAGGGGCGGGACCCAAUGAUUCUUCAGGUUCUCUUCCAGCCCUAUGAUUCUAUGAUUGUACAUAAAGGCUUCAGUUUGCUGCUGCCAAGCCAGGAGAAACUUCACCUAGCUGAGCUGCAGCAGAAACAACCCAGGAGACAAACUGUGUUCAACAGACUGAGUAGAUCUCACUCCAGUGCAAAAUGGAUAGAUGUCAGCAGCACUAGUGAUACCUUUUGUCAGUCCAAAUAAAGAGACUGAGGAUUAAACUGACAGAGCAAGAGAACUGCCUCCAGUUUUGUCACUGAACUUAUGUCUAAACUGCAAAUUUACCAUGCCUCUAUUCAAAUACAAUGUGUGACUACACUUGUGCUCCUUCCCAGAUGACAUGCAGUAUAGCAGCGUCCAUGUGAUGCCAAGGUGGGCUAUUUAUCACAGCUGAGAAUUGGUGACAGUUAGGCCAUGCAUAGCAUCACAUGAAGUUGUCUACACUACUUCCAGCCUGGGUGGCAGUGUGUGUGUAGCUCAACAAAAUGUAUAAGGACACCAGAACAGGUUAUAAUAUAUUUGUUGUUUAGGUGUGGCCUGAGACCCAUUGGGAGUAAUGGUUGGCUCUGGCUCUCAUGCUCACUCUCUGAUUUGGAGCACAAUAGGGCCAUUUGUGCAAGCAGAGAAAUCCUUCUGGGUAGCUUGUAGUGACUACUUCUGUUAGGGUAUAUACAAAUGUUACAUUUAAAUCAACCUAACUAGGGUUAGGUCAAUCCAAAUAUCUGUGCAGGCAUUUGGGAAUGUUAAAUUGGGCAAAAAAAUGGCAGGCCCAAUCUAAAUCAGUUUGCUUGGGUUAGCCUGAUCUAGUAAAAUCUGCACACAUUUGGAGCACGGCCCUGGGAGGGGGAAGGCCCAGCCACUUGUCCCAGUUCUGAGGCUUCACUCUUCCUGCCUCAUGCAAUACUACACUUUCUCAAUCCCACACCUUCUCAAGCCCUCUUGCAAUCCCAUACCUUCUCAAGCCCUUUUGGUUUUUUUUUUGUUUGUUUGUUUUUUAUGAUGUCUUCCUUUUUCAGACAUUUAAUGCAGGAUAAUAAUAGGUAGACUUGAAAAACUUCAAGUGAAUCUGAGCCCCAAACAGUGUCUUUAAACAAUUUCACUUCUUGCCUCUGGAACCGGGGAGAGUGGGCCUGGGAAGGAAGUUCAGCAGCUCAUGUUGCUGGUCCCUAAAAGUGGUAGAAGAAAUGGAAA
This is a long non-coding RNA of Alligator mississippiensis (American alligator), 1393 nucleotides long. RefSeq lists it as uncharacterized. The record is from RefSeq and is a predicted model, not a curated record. The transcript has 4 exons. NCBI's taxonomy places the organism in Eukaryota, Metazoa, Chordata, Crocodylia, Alligatoridae.